CCCAGGAAUUGCUGCCAAAGUCGGCCUUUGGUGCAGCUGUAAGUCGGAUGGAAUCCACCUUCCUGACGUCAGACCCACCCACUGGAACACUGCUCCUCUGACUGGGGCUUCCCUGAAUGGAAACUACAUGUCAUACUGCAAAAGACAGGGUCUCACUAUGUUGCCCAGGCUGGUCUCAAAUUCCUUCUCAAGUGAUCCUCCCACCUCAACCUCCCAAAGUGCUGGGAUUGCAGGCAUGAGCCACUGCACCCAGCAGAAAUUCUUAACGAGGCAAGGCCAACAGAGGCCAUUCAUUCAACAUCACGGCACCAUAGUGGCCUCUUUUUAAGACUCCUCAGGUUCCAGAUAGAUUUCAUCACUCAAGAUAAGCAAAUGAACCACAGAAUUUUGAAGUUAGAGAACAACUUCUGAAAGAGAAAAAAGUCUUUGUCUCAGUUUCUGCUCUCCAGAGGUAACCCAAAGAGGUAAGGAACCCAGUGAGAAAGACAGAGAGAAGUAUGGACAAGAAACAGAUCCUAAACCUGUUUUGUUUUAUUUUUGGUAGUAGUUGUUUAUUUUUGAAAACAUUCAAACCACCUGUAUUGGUGGCUGUUAUUAUGAAAUAAAUAAACUGAGAAACAACAAGACAAUUUGGCCUCUACAAUUUGUUUAGUUUUGACUAAGUAUUUGCCUUGGAAGAAGUAUGUGUACAAUACUCAUUUUUAAAAGAUGCAACAGUCACCUCGUUACUUGGAGUUUUACUUGAGACUU
This is a long non-coding RNA of Homo sapiens (human), 750 nucleotides long. Ensembl annotates it as long intergenic non-protein coding RNA 1828. The record is from Ensembl. Lineage: Eukaryota; Metazoa; Chordata; Mammalia; Primates; Hominidae.